UACGAAGGGGGGCUAGCGUUGCUCGGAAUUACUGGGCGUAAAGCGCACGUAGGCGGUUUCUUAAGUCGGGGGGUGAAAUCCUGGAGCUCAACUCCAGAACUGCCUUCGAUACUGAGAGACUUGAGUUCGGGAGAGGUGAGUGGAACUGCGAGUGUAGAGGUGAAAUUCGUAGAUAUUCGCAAGAACACCAGUGGCGAAGGCGGCUCACUGGCCCGAUACUGACGCUGAGGUGCGAAAGCGUGGGGGAGCAAACAGG
RNAcentral lists this ribosomal RNA (256 nucleotides) under uncultured bacterium. RNAcentral describes it as "partial 16S ribosomal RNA". It matches the Rfam family "Bacterial small subunit ribosomal RNA", at positions 524 to 776 of the family's 1533-position model. The record is from RNAcentral.